GUACAGAUGAACAGCCAGUUAACAUCUCAAUGACCUUCAAUAAGCACACAAGAGAAACCGCAGCCAAUGAAUGACGGCUACCUCUGGUCCCGGUGAGAAACAGGCGGUGGUACCUGAGAGAGCAGCAUAGCGGCGAGCACGGCGAGAGGCAAGACGUGACAGCACCUCCUCAUGGUUGGCGGCGGGACUCCCAAAGACAAGAAAGAUGUUUGGAGCUGCUUCACCUAGCAGGGUUCACCUCGU
Non-coding RNA from Nerophis lumbriciformis (worm pipefish), 243 nucleotides. The record is from RefSeq and is a predicted model, not a curated record. NCBI's taxonomy places the organism in Eukaryota, Metazoa, Chordata, Actinopteri, Syngnathiformes, Syngnathidae.